GGUGGAGUGACAUAAACACCUCUGUAGCCAUCACCACUAUGACUGCACUGGGUCAGAGAUGAAGCCAACAUAGCUCUGUGUCUCACCCAAGGCCUGCUGUAACCACUCCCUGGACAGCAUUGAAUUCAGAGCCUCACAAUUGCUGUGUUCUACUUCGCCUAGCAACCAGAGAUGAUCCCUGCAACAUGCUGCUGUUGCUGGGAGUGGGAAAGAGGUGGCAUCGGCGGUUCAAGACUGAGUUUUCUAUCUCUUCAGUGCCUCUUUCAACAAUGAAGAUCAAACCAGGUUUUGUGCAAAUAUCUGCUGAGUGAACUACUUAUUUGAAAAUACAUCAUUGGUUAAUAUUCCCUUUUGCUCAUUGAAAUCUCAAAGACUACAGACCCCGCACAAGACAUUCUGACAUUCCCGUCUUUGAAAUGAAUGACAGCAAUGAUAAAUAUGGCUCACCUCCAGAGAUACAGAUCUCACAACUUCAUAUUUUUAAUAUAAAUUAUUAAUCUGAGAAGCAGAGAGAGAUAAGACCCAUGAUAAUCAAGCCAUAAACAGAUGCAUUUACUAGCUGAAUGGCCAACAAUGGAAUUCAACAAAUCCAUCUUGAGCACGGCAGCCAGGAGUACGUAGACGGCAUUUUAUGGAUAUCCAGAUACAAAAUUAUAUUGCUCCCAUUAGUAAGAUUGCUGGCAAUCUUACUAUGUAGCAACUAAAAUACAGGUUAACCACUUAAAUUUGAAUUUCAGAUAAACAGUCAAUAAUUCUGCAUAGGAUAUACUUAUACUAAAAACUAUUUGCUGUUUAUCAGAAAUUCAAUUUUAACAGGAUGUCCUAUAUUUCAUCUGGAAUCUUACCCUUGUUUCAUGACAGAAUAAUGCAGAUCUGGGAGCUCUUAGCAGGCAUUUUGUAAUCACAAUAAAAAGUCAGUUUUCAGAAGUGGCAGAUGGCAAAAGAGAAAGAUUGGAGGGAAGAAGACAGUGAUACUAUGCUUUAGCUGAGGAAACAAAACAGUCUCCACUCUUUCUUAUCUCCUAUUUUAACUAGCCAAUGUAUUUUAUUAGAUUUUGGCAAGGUUCAUUUGGGUAUUAUGUCACUCUAUUUCAAUAUAACUACUCUGAUACACACUAAAGAAUUACCAUGAAGUAUUGUUAAUCUCAAAAGUUGUCGCUGUUUUCCUGAAUAUGGUUCAGCCAUUUCAAAGUUAUAUACUCUAUAGAUGAAAAGAGAAGUGUCUUGGGAUGUUUCAGAAAUGUUAUGUCACACAACGGAAUUCCUUAGCUUUACCUGACUGAUAAAAUCUGAAAGUUCAAGUCAGAUGUAUGAAGGGUUAAUAAAAAUUCAAUUUAUUUUAUAUCAUGCAAUGAAAACACAAAUCAGUACCAAGGCUAGCAAUAUUCAAAUAUAAUAUUUUGAUCUUUGA
Molecule: long non-coding RNA, 1411 nt
Organism: Homo sapiens (human)
Lineage: Eukaryota; Metazoa; Chordata; Mammalia; Primates; Hominidae
Product: long intergenic non-protein coding RNA 1192
Source: Ensembl